GUAGGUGGCAAGCGUUGUCCGGAUUUACUGGGCGUAAAGCGCGCGCAGGUGGCCCGCCAAGUCUGGGGGUGAAAUCUCCCGGCUCAACCGGGAGAGGUCUCUGGAAACUGACGGGCUUGAGGAGAGCAGAGGAGAGUGGAAUUUCCGGUGUAGCGGUGAUAUGCGUAGAUAUCGGAAGGAACACCAGUGGCGAAGGCGGCUCUCUGGGCUCUUCCUGACGCUGAGGCGCGAAAGCGUGGGGAGCGAACCGGAUUAGAUACCCGGGUAGUCCACGCUGUAAACGUUGGGCACUAGGUGUGGGAGGUAUUGACCCCUUCCGUGCCGAAGUUAACGCAUUAAGUGCCCCGCCUGGGGAGUACGGCCGCAAGGCUA
This 372-nucleotide ribosomal RNA is filed under the name uncultured organism. RNAcentral describes it as "partial 16S ribosomal RNA". It matches the Rfam family "Bacterial small subunit ribosomal RNA", at positions 527 to 896 of the family's 1533-position model. The record is from RNAcentral.